This 253-nucleotide unclassified non-coding RNA is filed under the name plant metagenome. RNAcentral's name for it is "partial contains small subunit ribosomal RNA, internal transcribed spacer 1, and 5.8S ribosomal RNA". The stretch from base 1 to 54 matches the Rfam family "Eukaryotic small subunit ribosomal RNA", at positions 1778 to 1831 of the family's 1831-position model. The record is from RNAcentral.
GGAAGUAAAAGUCGUAACAAGAUCUCCGUUGGUGAACCAGCGGAGGGAUCAUUACAGAGUUGCAAAACUCCCAAACCAUUGUGAACGUUACCUAUCCCGUUGCUUCGGCGGGCGGCCCGGGCACCGCGCCCGGCGCCCCCCGGCCCCCCGUGGGCGCCCGCCGGAGGUAAACCAAACCCUUGAAUUGCAUGGCCUCUCUGAGUCUUCUGUACUGAAUAAGUCAAAACUUUCAACAACGGAUCUCUUGGUUCUG